CGAUGCCCAAUGAGUGAUAAGCUCGUAGUUGGAUAUCUGGAUUGAGUUUGUUCGUGAUUCCACAGCAAUUCAGUUCAUCCUUCUGUUAAGCACCUUGUACUUGUACCGGGUGUCAGCUCAUAUAUUUUACCUUGAGAAAAUUAGAGUGUUUCAUGCAGGUAGACGGAAACAACAGCGUGGAAAAAAAAAAUUGACACGACCCCUGGGUGGCCGGAGAGGUUUAAUGUUUAAAAGGAACGGGGGGGGGGGUGGAUUUUUUUAUUAAAGGGGGAAAAUCUGUUGGUUUUUUUAAAAAUAAAGGAAAAGUUUUU
RNAcentral lists this ribosomal RNA (311 nucleotides) under uncultured eukaryote. RNAcentral describes it as "partial 18S ribosomal RNA". The record is from RNAcentral.